RNAcentral lists this ribosomal RNA (253 nucleotides) under uncultured bacterium. Its description in RNAcentral is "partial 16S ribosomal RNA". It matches the Rfam family "Bacterial small subunit ribosomal RNA", at positions 524 to 776 of the family's 1533-position model. The record is from RNAcentral.
UACAGAGGUCUCAAGCGUUGUUCGGAUUCAUUGGGCGUAAAGGGUGCGUAGGUGGCGGGGUAAGUCAGGUGUGAAAUCUCGGGGCUCAACCCCGAAACUGCACUUGAUACUGCCUUGCUCGAGUACAGAAGGGGCAACUGGAAUUCUCGGUGUAGCGGUGAAAUGCGUAGAUAUCGAGAGGAACACCUGCGGCGAAGGCGGGUUGCUGGGCUGAUACUGACGCUGAGGCGCGAAAGCCAGGGGAGCGAACGGG